CUUGAUAAAGGCACUACGUCAACCACCAGUAGUGUUGCUUUCUGUUCCAUGCACUUGAUUGUCCACCCCAAAUAUGCUGGAUGCGAGGAAGUAUUCCUUACAGGUGAUGUUGAAGGUGAUGAGACAAUUCAAGGGCGCAGUAAGUUCGCUAUUUAUAUUAACAAAACGGCAUGGAAUUUGAAAACCAUUAAUUGGUUCAUCUAGAAAUUAAAUUACUGGAGGCUGCAAAGAGAUGCGAAACAUAAUUAUCAUAAAAUAUUUAUUGAAACAGAUGCAGCCCUAUUGGCUACUUACCAUAAUGAAUUACCGGAAUUCAAACGCCUGUCAUACGCGUUUCUGAGUAUAGGAUUCAAAGUAAUUGAACGUCUUAGAAUGGAAUCACCCAGUGACCCUCGUUAUGAGGGAAAUACUCCAUGGCCAGGAACCGUUUGAAACUAGAUUCCAGCAUCUACGCAGGACAAAAAUGCUUCUAGGUAAUUCUGUUGUCUCUGCAUGGCUUGUGGUAAACUUUCUAGAAUGACCAAAUUUAUUAAGUUAAAUGAAUGCCCUUUCAGUUCCAGCCAUAAAGUAUCUACAUAUGUGUAGUAGGUAUCUAGAUGUCCUGGAAAGAACGUCAUUGAAGUAAUAUCGGUAUUCUUCUGUCAGACAACUCAUGGCCGUUGAUUCUACUUUUCCGGUUAAAAAGUAUGUCAUCACCAUCGAUAAUACGCUUUUCAAGGUCCAAAAACGUCUUCACUAGAAAGCAGUUCUUUAUACGGGGAGGAUAUUCCCUUCAGAUGAGUUCGAAGUACAUGGAAUUCAAAGGCAUGAUCUAAUCUAUUCCGAUUCAGAUGUUGACUUGUUUUGUUCGAAGUGAUCCUGCCACAACAUGCAGUAUCUGAAGCUUCUAUCAAGUGCAAACUAGA
This is a long non-coding RNA of Argiope bruennichi, 905 nucleotides long. RefSeq lists it as uncharacterized. NCBI's taxonomy places the organism in Eukaryota, Metazoa, Arthropoda, Arachnida, Araneae, Araneidae. The record is from RefSeq and is a predicted model, not a curated record. The transcript is spliced from 3 exons.